RNAcentral lists this ribosomal RNA (253 nucleotides) under uncultured bacterium. RNAcentral describes it as "partial 16S ribosomal RNA". It matches the Rfam family "Bacterial small subunit ribosomal RNA", at positions 524 to 776 of the family's 1533-position model. The record is from RNAcentral.
UACAGAGGUCCCAAGCGUUAUCCGGAUUUAUUGGGUUUAAAGGGUGCGUAGGCGGCGCGGUAAGUCGGGUGUGAAAUCUCGGAGCUUAACUCCGAAACUGCAUUCGAUACUGCCGUGCUUGAGGACUGGAGAGGAGACUGGAAUUUACGGUGUAGCGGUGAAAUGCGUAGAUAUCGUAAGGAAGACCAGUGGCGAAGGCGGGUCUCUGGACAGUUCCUGACGCUGAGGCACGAAGGUCAGGGGAGCAAACGGG